This 540-nucleotide long non-coding RNA is filed under the name Elaeis guineensis (African oil palm). RNAcentral's name for it is "long non-coding RNA (EGUI_LNC056956)". Lineage: Eukaryota; Viridiplantae; Streptophyta; Magnoliopsida; Arecales; Arecaceae. The record is from RNAcentral.
CCAAGAUCCUGUUCCACUUCCUGUAGCGGAUUCCGUGCGGCUCCACCUCCCCCUGCGACAGGUGCUGCACGAUCCCACUACUCUCUGACAGGCUGUGUCAACAGCUAUGAUGCUGCUCCGCUCCCUGCGGCAGGUGCUGCACGAUCCCACUACUCGCUGACAACUAGCGGCAAUGGACGCCUCUCCACUACCUGCAACAGGCCCUAUGUGGUGGGCUAUGAUGAUGGCCACGUGUCUGCUCCAUUAUCUUUCGCAAUCAAUUCCCCUGACUAUGGGCGGCUCACUGCCAGGCGGUUACAAACGUCGCUAUCAGUCUGUUGCCUCCCCCGCCUAUAAAAGGGGACCCAGAUACGUUAUUCUUUAAGCUCUUUUGCCUUAUCCCAAAACUCUGCUAAAUUCUCCGUUCGAGCACUCCAUUCUUGUUGAGGCAGAGAACUGACUUGAGCGUCGGAGGGUCUUGCCGGAGCAACCCCACCUCCGGUUUAGACUUCCUUUGCAGGUCCCGGUGGCGACCGCGGCUUCCCCAACUCCAGCUUCUCC